Lycium ferocissimum is the source of this 235-nucleotide long non-coding RNA. RefSeq lists it as uncharacterized. NCBI's taxonomy places the organism in Eukaryota, Viridiplantae, Streptophyta, Magnoliopsida, Solanales, Solanaceae. The record is from RefSeq and is a predicted model, not a curated record. The transcript has 2 exons.
CAGUGGAAAGCCUCAUCCUCCUUAUCUCUAUUCGCGGAUCGAAGAUCUUAACACAAAGUGUAACAUUCAUCGUAGUUUCCCUAUCUCCGAGCACAUGGACUGCACAAAUGUUUAGUAAGAGAAUAUUCAGUUCUGCGGAUGGCUAAAGCAGUUCUCUAGACUGUUAUGUUAGGAAAAAUAAUGUAUAUGUAUAUAUCUAUGAAUAUGAAUUGGAUAAAUAAUGAAUUUAUGCAUA